CACGUACUCCCUCCGUUCGGAAUUAUUUGUCGCAGAAAUGGAUGUAUCUAGAUAUAUUUUAGUUCUAGAUACACCAUAUCUAAGCCAAAUAAUUCCAAACGAAGGAAGUAGCUG
Triticum urartu is the source of this 114-nucleotide non-coding RNA. The record is from Rfam. NCBI's taxonomy places the organism in Eukaryota, Viridiplantae, Streptophyta, Magnoliopsida, Poales, Poaceae.